Molecule: ribosomal RNA, 223 nt
Filed under: Rhodanobacter sp. FW104-R5
Lineage: Bacteria; Pseudomonadati; Pseudomonadota; Gammaproteobacteria; Lysobacterales; Rhodanobacteraceae
Description: partial 23S ribosomal RNA
Rfam family: Bacterial large subunit ribosomal RNA
Source: RNAcentral
CGGGGAACUGAAAUAUCUAAGUACCCGGAGGAAAAGAAAUCAACCGAGAUUCCCUGAGUAGCGACGAGCGAACGGGGACUAGCCCAAAAGCACAUUGUGUUCUAGUCAAACGGCAUGGAAAGGCCGGCCAUAGAUGGUGAUAGCCCAGUCGACGAAAGGGCACUUUGUGUGAAAUUGAGUAAGGCGGGGCACGUGAAACCUUGUCUGAACAUGGGGGGACCAU